Gopherus evgoodei (Goodes thornscrub tortoise) is the source of this 254-nucleotide long non-coding RNA. RefSeq lists it as uncharacterized. NCBI's taxonomy places the organism in Eukaryota, Metazoa, Chordata, Testudines, Testudinidae. The record is from RefSeq and is a predicted model, not a curated record. The transcript has 3 exons.
GAAGGUUAACCUCCUCCCCCACCCUCAGUUCCUGCAUUACUAACAAGGAAUCUUAGGACAGUCAAAUGGCAAGUGGAAGGAGAAAGUUGAAUGGGACAACAACCAAGGAAGGGAGAGGCUAACCUCAUGUGCUGCAGAAGAGAGAAGGAAAGAGGCAAUUUGCUGAACGUCUACUUCCAACCACUCCCGGUGGCUGCUAUGGUUGGAAGCCCAUGAAAUCCCUUGGACUUGAAGCCAGGCCUUAUCAGGAGACC